UGUCAUUAAUAUACCUUUAUCUUAAUCUGUGGACAAAGACUCUGAGACAGGCACAGAGAAUAAAUCCUCUUUUCAAGCCAGAACCUAUUGUUCAGUAUGAGUUUUGAUACAGAUAAGAAACAUGAUU
Talpa occidentalis (Iberian mole) is the source of this 127-nucleotide small nucleolar RNA. RefSeq annotates it as small nucleolar RNA SNORA40. Lineage: Eukaryota; Metazoa; Chordata; Mammalia; Eulipotyphla; Talpidae. The record is from RefSeq and is a predicted model, not a curated record. The transcript has a single exon.